Molecule: ribosomal RNA, 392 nt
Filed under: uncultured bacterium
Lineage: Bacteria
Description: partial 16S ribosomal RNA
Rfam family: Bacterial small subunit ribosomal RNA
Source: RNAcentral
AUACGGAGGAUGCAAGCGUUAUCCGGAUUUAUUGGGUUUAAAGGGUGCGCAGGCGGCCAUUUAAGUCAGCGGUUAAAUCGUGGGGCUCAACCCCAUUCUGCCGUUGAUACUGGGUGGCUUGAUUGCGGUCGAGGUUGGCGGAAUUCGUUGUGUAGCGGGGAAAUGCAUAGAUAUGACGAAGAACACCGAUUGCGUAGGCAGCUGACCAGACCGCAAAUGACGCUCAUGCACGAAAGUGCGGGGAUCGAACAGGAUUAGAUACCCUGGUAGUCCGCACAGUAAACGAUGAAUACUUGUUUUCGGCGAUAUAAUGUCGGAGGCAAAGCGAAAGCGAUAAGUAUUCCACCUGGGGAGUACGCCGGCAACGGUGAAACUCAAAUGAAUUGACGGGG